This 377-nucleotide unclassified non-coding RNA is filed under the name uncultured Actinomycetes bacterium. RNAcentral describes it as "uncultured actinobacterium contains 16S-23S intergenic spacer region". Lineage: Bacteria; Bacillati; Actinomycetota; Actinomycetes. The record is from RNAcentral.
UCCGAGUUGACCCCGGCAGUCUCCUACGAGUCCCCGGCAUGAUCCGCUGGCAACAUAGGACAAGGGUUGCGCUCGUUGCGGCACUUAAGCCAACACCUCACGGCGCGAGCUGACGACAGCCAUGCAGCACCUGUGCGGGCUCCCGAAGGAGCACCGUGUUUCCACGGUUUCACCCUGCAUGUCAAGCCCUGGUAAGGUUCUUCGCGUUGCGUCGAAUUAAGCCACAUGCUCCGCUGCUUGUGCGGGUCCCCGUCAAUUCCUUUGAGUUUUAGCCUUGCGGCCGUACUCCCCAGGCGGGGCACUUAAUGCGUUAGCGCCGGCACGGGGGGAGUCGACACCCCCCACACCUAGUGCCCAUCGUUUACGGCGUGGACUAC